Small nucleolar RNA from Homo sapiens (human), 116 nucleotides. Lineage: Eukaryota; Metazoa; Chordata; Mammalia; Primates; Hominidae. The record is from Ensembl.
UAUAUCUAUUUGAGAGACCUAGUACAGUUACUGUCUGUGGCUGAGGUUUCCACUACAGAUGCAAGAAAAAGGGUCCUGUGCUUUCUGUCUAUCUGAUUGACUACUGAAGUUGUCAA